GACGAACGCUGGCGGCGUGCUUAACACAUGCAAGUCGAACGCUGAUGGCCCAGCUUGCUGGGUUGGAUGAGUGGCGAACGGGUGAGCAACACGUGAGUAACCUGCCCUCUUCUUUGGGAUAACGGUCGGAAACGGCUGCUAAUACCGGGUAUUCACUGUCCUUCGCAUGGGGGGUGGUGGAAAGGUUUUUUUCUGGUGGGGGAUGGGCUCGCGGCCCAUCAGCUUGUUGGUGGGGUGAUGGCUUACCAAGGCUUUGACGGGUAACCGGCCUGAGAGGGUGACCGGUCACAUUGGGACUGAGAUACGGCCCAGACUCCUACGGGAGGCAGCAGUGGGGAAUAUUGCACAAUGGGCGAAAGCCUGAUGCAGCGACGCCGCGUGAGGGAUGGAGGCCUUCGGGUUGUAAACCUCUUUCGCUCAUGGUCAAGCCGCAACAGUGGUUGUGGUGAGGGUAGUGGGUAAAGAAGCACCGGCUAACUACGUGCCAGCAGCCGCGGUAAUACGUAGGGUGCGAGCGUUGUCCGGAAUUAUUGGGCGUAAAGGGCUUGUAGGCGGUUUGUCGCGUCUGCCGUGAAAUCCUCUGGCUUAACUGGGGGCGUGCGGUGGGUACGGGCAGGCUUGAGUGCGGUAGGGGAGACUGGAACUCCUGGUGUAGCGGUGGAAUGCGCAGAUAUCAGGAAGAACACCGGUGGCGAAGGCGGGUCUCUGGGCCGUUACUGACGCUGAGGAGCGAAAGCGUGGGGAGCGAACAGG
RNAcentral lists this ribosomal RNA (753 nucleotides) under uncultured Actinomyces sp. Its description in RNAcentral is "bacterial SSU rRNA". It matches the Rfam family "Bacterial small subunit ribosomal RNA", at positions 28 to 776 of the family's 1533-position model. Lineage: Bacteria; Bacillati; Actinomycetota; Actinomycetes; Actinomycetales; Actinomycetaceae. The record is from RNAcentral.